Molecule: RNA transcript, 3032 nt
Organism: Lycium barbarum (goji berry)
Lineage: Eukaryota; Viridiplantae; Streptophyta; Magnoliopsida; Solanales; Solanaceae
Exons: 4
Source: RefSeq, a predicted model, not a curated record
ACUUGGUUAUUUGUGGGACGUCUCGCUUGCUUGUCAUUUGUCUUUGACUUUACUGUAUUUCUAAAAGAACAUGUAUGCACUCCUGCUUUGGGAUUUCACAACUUUCUCUUCGGAUUUAAGUAUAUGCCCCAUCUUUUCUUGUGGUUUCUUCAUCUCUCUUUUUGAUUCUGCACAUGCAUGUGAAUAGAACAACUAUGCAAGAGUACACAUAGUGUUGUACCCAGGGUGUUUGAUGAUAUGCCUCAAGUAAAUUAACAAUUACUCCAUCCGUUUCAAUUUAUGUGAGCCCAUUUGACUAGUUGGAAUACAAUGGUCAGUUGGUCACACAAUUUUGAUUUCACAUGCUUUUGAAGUGAAAGUCGCUCAAGGUGGGGAAAAACGGAACUGCUUUAACUAUAAAAGGUUUUAAGUCUCAAAAGAACGACAUUCACACUCAAUAUGAGGUUUGAAAACAUUGACAAGAAGCUUAUUUCUUUUGCCAGUCGGAUAUGUGCUCUCAAUCGUAAUUUUUCACUUAGUAAUGGUUAUUGAUUUGCUGGUGAGGUUAAAUACUCUUCCCAUCAUUUUUGUUAUUGUUUCUUGUACUGAGAUUUUAAUUGCUGAGAAGUGUCCUUUUAUAAUUCUUCUCGGCUUUGCAGUUUAAAGAUGUGGAGAUCUUUUCAGUGAGAAAUUCUAUUGGCAUUACAGCAAUGAGUAGUAUUCCUUUCGUAAGGUUCUUUCAUUAUGGAUUUUAUACCACUUGGGGGUUGAUGCUCCACAUUAUUAGUAUGAGAUAAAUUUUGAAAUAUCCAUCUUUAUCAUAGUAAAGAUGGUUCUAUCUGAAGGUAUUCCAGCUAUUCAUUCCACCCUUUGGAGAAAUUUGCCGAGGGUAGUCAAUUCCUGAGUUAUUACAUUUAAUACAAAUUAUAUCCGACAAUUAAUGGAGAUUCUAUUGCAGCUUAUUUGUCUAACUUUCUGUUGACAAGAAAAUUGGAUAAAACUGUAGCUUUUCGGAAAUCAGUAGAUAUUUCCCUUGUGAUAUCUUUUUAAUUUAGUACUAAUUCUUUCAACAAAAUCUUGAUAAAUUGUCGUAUGUCUCCUACUUCCAGGUGAUUUAGUUUCUUUUGUGAGAUCUUUCAACUUGCAUAUGAUUUGAAAGAUGUAGAAUUCUUUGAUGUUACUGCUAAAUUUGCAGUUAAAGAUAAAGGCUAUUGAAACUCAAGGAUUCGGGGGCUGUAGGCCAACUUGUAACUUGGCUCAAAUGGAGAAAGGAAUGUUGAUAUGGACACAGUCGAACAAACCUUAUGAUGAAGUAAGAUCCUUUUUCUCUUGAACCUUUUGCCGCUCCUAGGCUUCAAAAUUGUGAUCUGCAUCACCCAUAUAAUAUUAGCUACCCUUUAACUAAGAUCUGAUCUAAUUGUUCUGUUGGGAAGUUUGUGCGAGUAACUGUUUCUUUAUUCUUCUAUAUCGUUGCACCAGGAUGAACAAGAUGUGCGUAUCCGACUCUGCUUGAGUUAUAUAUUGUCUUUUGUGAUUGGGAGCUUGAACAUGGUUCACAUAUAUUUUGUAUUUGCUCUUUAUUUCCAAAACUUUGAAGAAAAAGAGGUAAAGUAAUAAGGAUAAGUUAAAAGUAAAUUUAUAAAAUUUAGCCAAUUGUUUUCGAGCAUUAUAACAAGGAUAAUUCAAAGAAUAAGUUGCAUGUACUUUAACUAUUUGAAGUAGAAGUAAUAAGUUACUAUCUAAAACAUUCAAAACAAUUUGAAACAGAUGUUAUUUGUUGAAAUUCAUUUAAAUUAUGCUUAUAAUCCUUCUUUGCAUAUGACAUCUUUUUGGUGGUGCUUAUUUUUUACGGACUUCUAAGUUAAUGUUUAUAUUCAGAUUACAUGGUUAUCAAUAAGACUUGAGCUAUGUGAUUAUGGCUUCGAAAGAAUGAUCGUUUCCUUAUCCACGUUACCACGAGAAGUAUUUUUCCUUUUUUUUUUAAUCUAUUUUCAUCAUAGAUUCAACUAUUUCUGUCAGAUUCAUCAAUUAAAAGCAUUUUGAUGAUCCAAGCUUAUUAGAUAUGUCUACAAUUUGACAGUAAGUUAUUGUACUCAAGAUGCAUCAUGAACUUAAACCUUAAUUCAACAAAUAACACCUGUUUGAUGAAAUCUCUCAUUCAGAAUAGCAACCGGAAGUCUCAAAUUGUGCAACACUAUCCAGCCUAACAUUUGUUGUUGAAGAUGACAUAUUCAUGAAUUGGUGUAUCACAAGAAUAAGUGGAGAAUCACAAAUAUAUAAGUUCUCUUAGGUUCAUAGAUGUGCUUAAAUUUGUGAAAUUGCUGGUCCUGAUGCUUCUCUUGCUAAGUUGUUGUAUGUUAAUCUAUGUUUCAAUUGACACUAAUAAAUUACAAUAGGCUGGUUAUGGGAUGAAUGCAAAGGUUUUCUUUGUGGAGAAGAGUUAAGUCGAAAGUGUUCAUAAUACAUAAGUGAUAGAGUGACUUUUCUAUGUGUUGUUCGCUUUAAGUUUCACACAUGCAUAAUAAGUUUCACACAUUCAUAAUUAUUUUACGUUCAUUUUGUGCGGCUUACUUUCUUGAUUGCUUGAUUAUACCGGACAAUUGAACAAACUUGAAGACACUUUAUGGAACUAUAUUACUAUGCUUUCUACCUGUGCCAAAUUCAAGGAUGCCAUAUUCUUUUUGAGAAAUAGAAGAUUGAAAAUAUAGUAACCAUGUGCAUUUAAUUUUGAAAAUAGCAAUUUUCUUAUUUAUAGUCCUUUUGAGUAUGCUAUAAGUGGUUAUAUCUUGUUAUAGGCUCUCUGUAAAAGACUUUAUACCAAAGGAGGAGCCAUGACUGAAAAUUAUUAGCAGAGUAUCAGAAUUGUUCCUAGGGCUUAUCCGUAGUCUCUAAGGAGGUAAUUGUACCACUAUGUACUAAGGAAUUAGUUAUCUGCAAACCUAAGCAGUGGUAAACUUCUAUUCAUUUCUUUAUUCAAUGCAUGUUCUCAAUGUGUCCAUAUAUAUACAUACAAUGCGCACACCUCGGUUAUGGUUUAAUAACUUUGUGUUUGA